UUCUGCCGGGAGGGGGACCGGCGGCGCCAGCCGCGCCGCCGGCUUUCGGAAGAAGAAAGGGCGAUCCGCUUGGCGGGUCGCCCUUUUU
RNAcentral lists this small RNA (88 nucleotides) under Caulobacter vibrioides NA1000. RNAcentral describes it as "small non-coding RNA". The record is from RNAcentral. Lineage: Bacteria; Pseudomonadati; Pseudomonadota; Alphaproteobacteria; Caulobacterales; Caulobacteraceae.